GAUGAACGCUGGCGGCGUGCCUAAUACAUGCAAGUCGAACGAAACUUCUUUAUCACCGAGUGCUUGCACUCACCGAUAAAGAGUUGAGUGGCGAACGGGUGAGUAACACGUGGGCAACCUGCCCAAAAGAGGGGGAUAACACUUGGAAACAGGUGCUAAUACCGCAUAACCAUAGUUACCGCAUGGUAACUAUGUAAAAGGUGGCUAUACUACCGCUUUUGGAUGGGCCCGCGGCGCAUUAGCUAGUUGGUAGGGUAAAGGCUUACCAAGGCAAUGAUGCGUAGCCGAAUUGAGAGGUUGAUCGGCCACAUUGAGAUUGAGACACGGCCCAAACUCCUAAGGGAGGCAUCAGUAGGGAAUCUUCCACUAUGGGCGAAAGCCUGAUGGAGCAACGCCGCGUGGGUGAAGAAGGUCUUCGGAUCGUAAAACCCUGUUGUUAGAGAAGAAAGUGCGUGAGAGUAACUGUUCACGUUUCGACGGUAUCUAACCAGAGAGCCACUGCUAACUACGUG
This 512-nucleotide ribosomal RNA is filed under the name uncultured bacterium. RNAcentral describes it as "partial 16S ribosomal RNA". It matches the Rfam family "Bacterial small subunit ribosomal RNA", at positions 28 to 507 of the family's 1533-position model. The record is from RNAcentral.